UAUGGAAACAUCAAGAUCAUACUUAUGAUAUCAAACACAUGCUUACAGAUAAAAACCUAGGGCUUCAGACUAGGAUAGAACAAAACUCCUCGGAUGGCUUCCACUUCUUAGAUAUAAAUGUUAAAGUGGAAAUGGGUAAGUAUGUCACAACUAUUUACAAAAAACCCACAUAUAUGCCUGUUUUAAUUCCUGCUUGGUCUAAAGAUCUGAUGUCGUAUAAGCUUGCAGCUUUUAGAAGUAUGAUCGCUAGGGUGUUUACACAUACCACCAAAUGGAUAGAUAUAGAAAAGGAACACCGAUACAUCCACAUCACAGCAGUUAAGCAUG
Molecule: long non-coding RNA, 327 nt
Filed under: Androctonus crassicauda
Lineage: Eukaryota; Metazoa; Arthropoda; Arachnida; Scorpiones; Buthidae
Source: RNAcentral